GGCAGCCGUUCGAGUUUUAUCUCCGUUCGCCAUCACUUACAGGCACCACCGACCGCUCUCAGGACACCGUCCUAUGCCUCACCUACACAUUCGAGAAUGGAACAUUUGCGCAGGCACAAUAUGGCGACACCGUUCCAGCAACAUGUCCCGCUGGAUACGAACGCACAGCUUUCGCAUUCGCGAAGUGUACCUUCAGGAACGGCAUUUACGGCUGGUCUAACGUCAACUCUAUCCCUCUGGACAAGAUGUGCGCCAAGAACACCCUUCUUGGAACAUAUACCGUAGGUGCACCAGCAG
Molecule: long non-coding RNA, 297 nt
Organism: Sycon ciliatum
Lineage: Eukaryota; Metazoa; Porifera; Calcarea; Leucosolenida; Sycettidae
Exons: 3
Source: RefSeq, a predicted model, not a curated record